RNAcentral lists this transfer RNA (60 nucleotides) under bovine gut metagenome. It matches the Rfam family "tRNA", at positions 3 to 60 of the family's 71-position model. Rfam says of the family: Transfer RNA (tRNA) molecules are approximately 80 nucleotides in length. Their secondary structure includes four short double-helical elements and three loops (D, anti-codon, and T loops). The record is from RNAcentral.
UGGUGUAGCUCAGUUGGUAGAGCAGCUGAUUUGUAAUCAGCAGGUCGGGGGUUCAAGUCC